GCAUUUACUUCGACUUUGGAUACGCAACUGUGAAAAGCGCGGCAGCGGUAGCAGCGGUUACUCCUCAGAAUCUGAAACCACGCCGGCGGUUCUUUAUUCCAUGACGGCGGCAAGCCUGCGACCGUCGAAACGCGAGUGGGAUUUUUCUCUUGCGUCCGUUGCGCCUGUGAUACCCGACAACUGUAGCAGCAUGUCAUCUGAUCCGACUUCAACUGAAGGCUCGCCGACUGAUGCGGAAGCAGUUUACCUCGUUUCGCACGGGCCACCAAAGAAAAUUGUGAAGUUCACAGGCGCCCGGAAGCUCGCCGACCUUCACGAAAGUGUGCGGAUGGGUGGGUUCGCGCACCUGAUGACAUGCAACGAUCUCCUAAUACAGCAUGCUGGAAGCUGCACAGGGGAGUUGGCAAGGGGGCACAAGGAAGCAAUGCCCCGUUGCUGUCCGUAGGGUGAACGCAAGGCGGCUCGUGGCGGCCGCAAUUUCUACACUGCGCUUUUCAUCUCUGGAGCCAUGCGCAGCAGCGUGCAGUCGUCAUGUUCAGAAAAGCAGUGCAAAGGUACCCGAAUAAGCUGUACAACAUUGCUGCAAGGUGCCUUGGUAAACCAGUACCCAGCCCUGAGGAACAGAUUGGACUCUGGCUAUGUAAGAGCAUUUCCUUGUAAAUUUCCUUCAUUUUGAUUUCUUUGGCACAUUUAAAGGUUGAAAUAUGCUGUCAAAGUCUUUCUUAGCACUUCGUAAUGUUUAUGGCCAUUGUUUCUCGCAACUGUUCUCGUCUGUGUGCUUGUCAUUGAGUAGACAUGCUGUGAUCUAUAAGCUUUGCAGUUUGACUAAAUUUGAAGAUGCCAACAGCAGCUCUGCAUCUGAGGUGCAAUACGGCCACCUUCUGUAAAAUUAAUUGCAUGCUCAGCUAAAUAUACAAUUGGUUGAACAAUAUAUUUUGUACCUGUAGUCAUUUAUGCAUAAAAAUUUUGACCAAACUAAUACAGAAAGAAAUUACUCAACUGCUGUGUUGAAAGGUGUGCUAAGAUAGCUCGACUGGUACAUUUUAGAACAUGAAGGAAACAGUGCAAAAAACAAGUUAAGAUUAGGGCAACUCUGUUUUUACUGUGUACUGUUUUCAAUUUAUUACACAACCUGAAAACCGGAAGCCACUAAACUGGUAUUUAUGUAAAGUCAGUUGCUUUCACUUCAUUCUAGUUCUCCUGGCACAUGCACCUGAAAAACAAGUACAAAAUCUUAAAGCUUAAAUCUCCUAAUUUAUCUAAAUUGCACUGUUGUUCCCACUUGCUGCUACAUAACUGUCAACUGCAUCAGAGCUGCUCUUGCAAAAUCGUGUGUACUAGGUAUCCUGAAACUGAUAAUUGCUGUACCAAUGUUAGCUUCAGCUAAUGGUAAACACAUCAUAAUAAAUAAGACGAAUAAUGCAAAACAACAGUAUCUGAAAAAGCAUACCACCAUGUUUGACAAGUAGUCAGAAAGUGUUGCUAUGUAUCAUUGCUGUUAAUUGGUGUUCUUUUUCGCAUUAGAACGCCUUUAGAUUAAUAACAGUGCAUCUACUUCUGUAACAAUUUUUAUUUCUUGUCGUGAAAUAAUGCAUCUAAAAUAAUAAAUUUCACAAUCAGUUAUUUCUGUAACUAUGAUGACUAGCCUGAUCUCACUUAAAUGUUCAUGCUACAGGUUGAAUUUUUUUUCGGCUGAGUUUGCUUUGUAUAUACAGAAAAUUUGUUUAAAUUUGGAGGACACACACAGUCAUGACUGAAAGGAAUAAAGUGAGGUUGGUCACAAGCUGUUUUUCAGCAUUAAUUAAGGAAGCCACAAUGCUAUGUGAAUAUAAAACUUAUUCCCAGUGAAUAGCUUCUGUUGACUGCCAAGGAACCGUGGAGUGCAGUACAGCAGCAGUAUGGUAGCAAUGUAAGAUCUGCUCACAAUUGAUUGUUUACAUGGCGUUGAAUUGAAAGGUGCUACUGAGUCACGAGAAAGCACAGCAGAAAGGAAACAGAUGAUACCAUUUUUUUAUUGUAGCUCGUUCAUGCAUUUCACUUCGACAUGUAUAAUGAACUAGCCCCAAAUUCAGGUGGAAACAGCGCUAAGGAUACAAAGUGAAAGCACAUUGAGGAAAUUACACGUUGCACUGAGUAUUUUUUCUAUGCGUCCUCACAUAAUCCAAGUGUGUCCACCUGAAUAGGAGUAACAAACUAGCAGAUAUGUUCACAUUAGCUUGGCCCAUCCUUAAGCUUUCUGAAGUUAGCAUUACAUAAUUUUAAGGAAACUAUAACUUGAAUCAGUGCCUGUAUAGUAUGUUUUUCAAAUACGUAGUUAUUGCUAGUUUUUCUUAAACAAACAAAAAAGUACAAUGUAAUAUAAUGAGCAAGGUUUUCAUGUUUGGUCCAACCAUUGAAAGGCCAAGUGAACCACAGCGGAAAUUAAAUGUGGUUUUAUUGAACUGUAGAAGUCAUAAAAAAUAUAAAAAAGAUAACUUGCCACUGGUGGGAGCAAAACCCACAUCUUGCAAAUAUAGCAUGCAAUAGUCUACUCAUUGAGCUGUGGUAGUAGCUGUCCUCUCAUUCACAUUCUUGGGGAUUUGUGUAUGUGUACUAAAUGUGGCCCAGCACCAAACUCAUAAUCCUGGCAGAAGAUGUGGCACAUACUUUUACCUGCAACCAUCACAAAGGGGAUGACCCUUAGGAGCAGGCAGCAGGCCUAUAAGUAUUUGCAUUCAUAACAGCAUUGGUGCCUUCAGGUAGCAUACAGUGCCAUCUGCCUGCUCUUAAAUGUCAUGUACCGCAUGACGCCUACGG
This is a long non-coding RNA of Dermacentor silvarum, 2796 nucleotides long. RefSeq lists it as uncharacterized. The record is from RefSeq and is a predicted model, not a curated record. Lineage: Eukaryota; Metazoa; Arthropoda; Arachnida; Ixodida; Ixodidae. The transcript has 3 exons.